GCAUGGCGGACUAUGCCGGUGUGAAUGCCGGUGUCGUUACCGUCGUGCGCGAUGUUCUGCAACAACAGGCUCAUAAACUGCGGCGUGGUGUGAGAGGCAUUCCCAUCUCCAGGGUUUCCCAUGAUGCGGACCUGCAAACGGUGAGAUCACUUGCGCCUCACGACCGUGAACUCGAUCGGAUGCCGUGGACUACAGCCGCCGUCGUUCGCCAGAUUUCCCGAUGUCGGGUGGUGGUGGCGGGAAGUUAUCACGCCGGCGUGUUCGCACUGUCUCAGGGAAUUCCCGUGGUCGCCGUUGUUCAAUCCGAUUAUUACGCUCAAAAAUUUUACGGUCUUGCACAUCAGUUUGGCGCGGGUUGCACCGUGCUCGCCUGCAAUGAAGCGGGCUUCAGACAACGGCUCGAAACCGCUGUGGUUGCCGCGUGGAACGGUGCCAGGAUCAGGAAUCCUCUCCUGCGGGCGGCGGCCAAAAAACAGAUUGCUGCCGCUCGGAAAGCUUACGCAACCAUUCCGGACCUGAUGCCGUGAAAGUGCAAGAAAACGGUUGGGAGUUAAUCUUCCCGAACGCGGAAGAAUCCCGUGAAGUUUGAAAUCGGAACGCUCGCGCUUUGAAUUGCGGUUGUCACAAUUCCACUCCA
RNAcentral lists this unclassified non-coding RNA (637 nucleotides) under uncultured fungus. RNAcentral's name for it is "sequence contains 18S rRNA gene, ITS1, 5.8S rRNA gene, ITS2, 28S rRNA gene". The record is from RNAcentral. Lineage: Eukaryota; Fungi.